CGUUCGAAAAUGCCUAGGUUGGUGGAUCGACCCUCCGCGGAGCAAAGACGGAUGGCUGGCAGGAGCAGGUUCAGGAGCUGGGCCAAGGAGUGUUUGGCCCGGCGGUCCACCCCGGCUUCCCGAGAUACGCUAGAGUUGCCCCCACGUCCUGUCCGCCGCGCCCCUACCCACCGGGUUGCCUUCGGGGCCCUUCGGUGCUGUGUAGUCGGCGUGGCGCUGUGAGCUAGGCGAACAGGAACCCCCAGGCCCGCCACGUCUACGCUAUUAGCAGCCAGGUAGCCCUGCGGGUCGAAGAUGCUCAGAGGAGGAGUAAAUGCAGAGAAAAA
This 326-nucleotide long non-coding RNA is filed under the name Homo sapiens (human). Its description in RNAcentral is "non-protein coding lnc-SAP30-22:1". The record is from RNAcentral. Lineage: Eukaryota; Metazoa; Chordata; Mammalia; Primates; Hominidae.